RNAcentral lists this transfer RNA (69 nucleotides) under Podarcis lilfordi (Lilford's wall lizard). RNAcentral describes it as "tRNA.Ser". The stretch from base 4 to 62 matches the Rfam family "tRNA", at positions 7 to 64 of the family's 71-position model. Rfam says of the family: Transfer RNA (tRNA) molecules are approximately 80 nucleotides in length. Their secondary structure includes four short double-helical elements and three loops (D, anti-codon, and T loops). Lineage: Eukaryota; Metazoa; Chordata; Lepidosauria; Squamata; Lacertidae. The record is from RNAcentral.
GCCGUAGCUCAGUGGCAGAGCAUAUGCUUUGAAUGCAGAAGGUCCCAGGUUCAAUCCCUGGCAUAUCCA